CGCACGGGUGAGUAACACGUGAGUGACCUGCCUUUUAGACUGGAACAACUUACCGAAAGGUGAGCUAAUGCCGGAUGAGUUAUAUAAGUGCAUGUUUAUAUAGGAAAAGUUGGGGAGACCUGACGCUGAAAGAUGGACUCGCGUCCCAUUAGCUAGUUGGUAGGGUAAUGGCCUACCAAGGCGACGAUGGGUAGCCGGCCUGAGAGGGUGGCCGGCCACACUGGGACUGAGACACGGCCCAAACUCCUACGGAAGGCAGCAG
Molecule: ribosomal RNA, 262 nt
Filed under: uncultured bacterium
Lineage: Bacteria
Description: partial 16S ribosomal RNA
Rfam family: Bacterial small subunit ribosomal RNA
Source: RNAcentral